RNAcentral lists this ribosomal RNA (253 nucleotides) under uncultured bacterium. RNAcentral describes it as "partial 16S ribosomal RNA". It matches the Rfam family "Bacterial small subunit ribosomal RNA", at positions 524 to 776 of the family's 1533-position model. The record is from RNAcentral.
UACGUAGGGUGCAAGCGUUAAUCGGAAUUACUGGGCAUAAAGCGUGCGCAGGCGGUGAUGUAAGACAGGUGUGAAAUCCCCGGGCUUAACCUGGGAAUGGCAUUUGGGACUGCAAGGCUGGAGUGCGGCAGAGGAGACUGGAAUUCCUGGUGUAGCAGUGAAAUGCGUAGAUAUCAGGAGGAACACCGAUGGCGAAGGCAGGUCUCUGGGCUGACACUGACGCUCAUGCACGAAAGCGUGGGGAGCGAACAGG